UUUGGAUAUCUCAAAGAUAAA
Molecule: non-coding RNA, 21 nt
Organism: Caenorhabditis elegans
Lineage: Eukaryota; Metazoa; Nematoda; Chromadorea; Rhabditida; Rhabditidae
Source: Ensembl